This 2240-nucleotide ribosomal RNA is filed under the name Helicobacter pylori HP250BFiV. RNAcentral describes it as "bacterial LSU rRNA". It matches the Rfam family "Bacterial large subunit ribosomal RNA", at positions 284 to 2529 of the family's 2925-position model. Lineage: Bacteria; Pseudomonadati; Campylobacterota; Epsilonproteobacteria; Campylobacterales; Helicobacteraceae. The record is from RNAcentral.
GCUUGCAUUCGGGGUUGAGGACUGCAAUAUCCAAGAGAACGCUUUAGCAGAGUUACCUGGAAAGGUAAGCCAUAGAAAGUGAUAGCCUUGUAUGCGACAAGGCGUUCUCAGGUAGCAGUAUCCAGAGUAGGCCAGGACACGAGAAAUCCAGGUUGAAGCCGGGGAGACCACUCUCCAACCCUAAAUACUACUCUUUGAGCGAUAGCGAACAAGUACCGUGAGGGAAAGGUGAAAAGAACCGCAGUGAGCGGAGUGAAAUAGAACCUGAAACCAUCUGCUUACAAUCAUUCAGAGCCCUAUGAUUUAUCAGGGUGAUGGACUGCCUUUUGCAUAAUGAUCCUGCGAGUUGUGGUAUCUGGCAAGGUUAAGCGAAUGCGAAGCCGUAGCGAAAGCGAGUCUUAAUAGGGCGCUUGAGUCAGAUGCUGCAGACCCGAAGCUGAGUGAUCUAUCCAUGGCCAAGUUGAAACGCGUGUAAUAGCGCGUGGAGGACUGAACUCGUACCCAUUGAAACGGGUUGGGAUGAGCUGUGGAUAGGGGUGAAAGGCCAAACAAACUUAGUGAUAGCUGGUUCUCUUCGAAAUAUAUUUAGGUAUAGCCUCAAGUGAUAAUAAAAGGGGGUAGAGCACUGAUUGGGCUAGGGCUGCUCGCCGCGGUACCAAACCCUAUCAAACUUCGAAUACCUUUUAUCGUAUCUUGGGAGUCAGGCGGUGGGUGAUAAAAUCAAUCGUCAAAAGGGGAACAACCCAGACUACCAAAUAAGGUCCCUAAGUUCUAUUCUGAGUGGAAAAAGAUGUGUGGCUACUCAAACAACCAGGAGGUUGGCUUAGAAGCAGCCAUCCUUUAAAGAAAGCGUAACAGCUCACUGGUCUAGUGGUCAUGCGCUGAAAAUAUAACGGGGCUAAGAUAGACACCGAAUUUGUAGAUUGUGUUUGACACAGUGGUAGAAGAGCGUUCAUACCAGCGUUGAAGGUAUACCGGUAAGGAGUGCUGGAGCGGUAUGAAGUGAGCAUGCAGGAAUGAGUAACGAUAAGAUAUAUGAGAAUUGUAUCCGCCGUAAAUCUAAGGUUUCCUACGCGAUGGUCGUCAUCGUAGGGUUAGUCGGGUCCUAAGCCGAGUCCGAAAGGGGUAGGUGAUGGCAAAUUGGUUAAUAUUCCAAUACCGACUUAUGGAGCGUGAUGGGGGGACGCAUAGGGUUAAGCGAGCUAGCUGAUGGAAGCGCUAGUCUAAGGGCGUAGAUUGGAGGGAAGGCAAAUCCACCUCUGUAUUUGAAACCCAAACAGGCUCUUUGAGUCCUUUUAGGACAAAGGGAGAAUCGCUGAUACCGUCGUGCCAAGAAAAGCCUCUAAGCAUAUCCAUAGUCGUCCGUACCGCAAACCGACACAGGUAGAUGAGAUGAGUAUUCUAAGGCGCGUGAAAGAACUCUGGUUAAGGAACUCUGCAAACUAGCACCGUAAGUUCGCGAUAAGGUGUGCCACAGCGAUGUGGUCUCAGCAAAGAGUCCCUCCCGACUGUUUACCAAAAACACAGCACUUUGCCAACUCGUAAGAGGAAGUAUAAGGUGUGACGCCUGCCCGGUGCUCGAAGGUUAAGAGGAUGCGUCAGUCGCAAGAUGAAGCGUUGAAUUGAAGCCCGAGUAAACGGCGGCCGUAACUAUAACGGUCCUAAGGUAGCGAAAUUCCUUGUCGGUUAAAUACCGACCUGCAUGAAUGGCGUAACGAGAUGGGAGCUGUCUCAACCAGAGAUUCAGUGAAAUUGUAGUGGAGGUGAAAAUUCCUCCUACCCGCGGCAAGACGGAAAGACCCCGUGGACCUUUACUACAACUUAGCACUGCUAAUGGGAAUAUCAUGCGCAGGAUAGGUGGGAGGCUUUGAAGUAAGGGCUUUGGCUCUUAUGGAGCCAUCCUUGAGAUACCACCCUUGAUGUUUCUGUUAGCUAACUGGCCUGUGUUAUCCACAGGCAGGACAAUGCUUGGUGGGUAGUUUGACUGGGGCGGUCGCCUCCUAAAAAGUAACGGAGGCUUGCAAAGGUUGGCUCAUUGCGGUUGGAAAUCGCAAGUUGAGUGUAAUGGCACAAGCCAGCCUGACUGUAAGACAUACAAGUCAAGCAGAGACGAAAGUCGGUCAUAGUGAUCCGGUGGUUCUGUGUGGAAGGGCCAUCGCUCAAAGGAUAAAAGGUACCCCGGGGAUAACAGGCUGAUCUCCCCCAAGAGCUCACAUCGACGGGGAGGUUUGGCACCUCGA